ACGGAGGUUGCGAGCGUUGUUCGGAAUAACUGGGCGUAAAGGGAGCGCAGGCGGUUGGGUAAGUCUGAAGUGAAAGCCCGAGGCUCAACUUCGGAAGUGCAUUGGAUACUACGUUACUUGAGUAUGUGAGAGGAAAGCGGAAUUCCAGGUGUAGCGGUGAAAUGCGUAGAUAUCUGGAGGAACACCGGUGGCGAAAGCGGCUUUCUGGCACGAUACUGACGCUGAGGCGCGAAAGCGUGGGGAUCAAACAG
This 251-nucleotide ribosomal RNA is filed under the name uncultured prokaryote. RNAcentral's name for it is "partial 16S rRNA". It matches the Rfam family "Bacterial small subunit ribosomal RNA", at positions 525 to 775 of the family's 1533-position model. The record is from RNAcentral.